AACGAACGCUGGCGGCAGGCCUAACACAUGCCAGUCGAGCGGACCCUUCGGGGUUAGCGGCGGACGGGUGAGUAACGCGUGGGAAUAUGCCCUUCUCUACGGAAUAGUCCUGGGAAACUGGGGGUAAUACCGUAUACGCCCUGUGGGGGAAAGAGUUAUCGGGGAAGGAUUAGCCCGCGUUGGAUUAGGUAGUUGGUGGGGUAAUGGCCUACCAAGCCGACGAUCCAUAGCUGGUUUGAGAGGAUGAUCAGCCACACUGGGACUUAGACACGGCCCAGACUCCUACGGGAGGCAGCAGUGGGGAAUCUUAGACAAUGGGGGCAACCCUGAUCGAGCCAUGCCGCGUGAGUGAUGAAGGCCUUAGGGUUGUAAAGCUCUUUCAGCUGGGAAGAUAAUGACGGUACCAGCAGAAGAAGCCCCGGCUAACUCCGUG
RNAcentral lists this ribosomal RNA (433 nucleotides) under uncultured bacterium. RNAcentral's name for it is "partial 16S ribosomal RNA". It matches the Rfam family "Bacterial small subunit ribosomal RNA", at positions 29 to 507 of the family's 1533-position model. The record is from RNAcentral.